Non-coding RNA from Taeniopygia guttata (zebra finch), 3375 nucleotides. The record is from RefSeq and is a predicted model, not a curated record. NCBI's taxonomy places the organism in Eukaryota, Metazoa, Chordata, Aves, Passeriformes, Estrildidae.
GCAGCUGGAACAGAGAAAAAGCCUGGUGUUUAGAGCAAAGAAUGGCCAGUUUGAAAAGUUGACGAUUUCACCUUGACAGCUAUCAGGAAAAUAAUCCUCAGACUGGAGCGCUUCCAGAUGUAUAACCCUCCAAGUGCUCUGGAGCUGCACACCCUGACUCCCUCACAGCAGUGAAUCACGAGCAAUGCAUGCACAAACAGCCAAACCAACUGGGCAAAAGGUGGUCUACAGCUUACUGGAUGACCAAAACGGUUCCUCAAUUCAUGUGAGCAAAACCAACCCUCUGUUUAAAUGAAGUACAGGAAACACAAAGCAGCUUAUGACACUGACAAAGACCUUACAGAGAAGGAGCAUAAAAAAAGGUACGAAGUUCACUUUUCAAAACUUGGAGCAGGAUUUUUUUAUGGGGGAGGGGAGGGUGUUGUUUGCAGUUUUUUUAAAAUACAGGAAAGCAGCAUUCUUGCUUAAAAGUGGGAAAUCUUUGAAAUGACAUUGCGUUUGUUGAAUUAAGUAACAAUUAGCUACAAAGAAGAAACAAAACCCCAGAGCUUAGAAAGUUUGAGUCAUUAUCUCCAAGGAGACACAUCUGUAAUGUUGACAAGGUCAGAACAUUUCAGUCAGUUCUUGUGAGUACUGGGAGAUACAAGAUGUUAGCUUCUAUUCCUAUCAAGGCAAUGGCAACUCUGAAAGACUGCAGAUAUCACUUGGAGCCUACACCACUAUGAAUUAUUAGCCUUGAGGCCACAGCCUAGAAAGAUACCACAUCAUAUCCACAGUACAGAUGGAUUUGUGGAUGCCUUGAGGUAAAAUGAAAGGUAUGUUUGUUUUGGACAGGGUGGUAAGGAGGAUCAGGUGCUGCCAGAUAGGGAGGCCUUUCACCACAUCUGGGGCAGAUGGUCCCAAUUAUCUUCUCAUCACUGCUAAUCAGAAGCCAUCCUUCAGCAGCUAUAUAAUAACCUAUGUAAAAACAAACCUGGGAUUGCUCUUUGGCUUCCAGCAAGAGGAGAGCCUGCCUGUCACAAGUCAGUCAGUGAAGGCAGCAUCCUGUCUUGGAGUCUCAUUUACAGGACUGUGGUAUGGAGCUCUGCAGGUGCAAGACAGUGUCUUCACAUCAGGUAAGAAAGCGGAAUACGGGUGAUGCUGACAAGAAAAUUUAGGGGCACACCAGUGGGGAGGAAAAGGCAGCUCCUGCCAGCUUACUCCUCUGCCCUUUCUGACCCUACUGAUGAACAGCAUGUGCUGCCAAAUUAACAGGACCUCUAGCCCCCUGCCUUGGCUACUGCUCUUACCUACAGGGACAAAACUGAUCCAAACUGGAAGCAAGAUACAUUAUUUGGAGACUAUAAAGAGCAUCAAGCUCUUCAUGUUCUCACUUGACUGUUGAAGGUGGCAAGUCAUAAUAUGAUCCAAAGAAUUUAUUGCCUCUUUUCCCUGAGCAACCUAACACCUCAAACAGAAUUGAGAAAGGAUUUGUCCAGCCAGACUUCACUCCAUCAUUAAGUCCCAUACCCUGUGUUAGCAGAAGCAAUGCUAUUUACAUCUCAGAAAAUAAGGUGCUUCUUUGUUACUGCUAUUAUGCUCUUCUCAGGAAGAGAAAAAUACUGCUUAUCUUCAAAUUCAGCUCUCAACUACUCCUUAUUUGCCCACAACACUGCAUCCUAGUUCUUUAAGCUCUACUGUGGUGUUGAAAAGCAAGGGCUACAAAAAACAUGUUGACACAUAAACCAAGAAGAGUGGAAUUAAAAUUAUAAAGCAGCUUGAUGUAAAGAAAAGUCUUGACUGAUCUCCAGAGUUCUGCCUGUCAUUUGUCUCCUUGAAAGUACGUGAAGGGAAUCUGCUUUCCAGGAACAAGAGACUUGAAUUCAUUUAAUACAUUUCUAAGCCUUUAGAGUUACAGUUGUUGAGAAAAGAGAAGAAGAAAACCACUUGAAGUGAUUUAUUUUCUUUUUGAUUAAACAACACAGCCAAGAGAGCCGUGGCACAUGAGCUCAGAGGACAUCAGAGCAGAAUACCCAGGUAGAGCAGUUUGCUUUCUCUUCCUCCAAACACUUUAUUUUACAACCCCAAUGAUUAAUGUCCAUGGAACCAUUACUCCAGGAUGUAAAGGGGGGUGCUGAUACAGCAGAAAACCAUCACAGCUCACCCACAGACUCACCUGCAUGUCCUAUUCCCUCAUCCUCAUGGCUGCACCUGGAAAACACCAGGGGAAUUGCACAGAAACCAGAAGCUUCUCUUCUUGUCAGCAAGACCUCUUCAUUUUUUUCAGCACAGGAGGCACUGAGGUGUCACACUCACUGACAGGAGGAAUGCUUUCCUCUGCUUCCUUCAGCAGCUGCUGCUGAUCAGAGGAUUCCCUACCAAAACACUGCCCUGGCCACACCGCUGUGGUUCCACACACUCAGGCUUACUUCACAAGGUCAUUAUUCAACAGAACAGCAGAGAAAGUCAUGGCAAGAAUUUGCUUUGUUGUUGAAAACUUCUUUUACACUCACAGUCAACCCAAGUCCGCCCUUUGAUUUAAAGAGAACAGCUCCCUUACUUUACAUUCCUGUCUUACUUGCACAAUUUCACACUUGACUACUAAUUUUUCAAACACAGCAAACUCUUGCCAUACCUACCUAUGACUAAGUAUUUUGCACUGGUUCUCAGAAAAGCGCAUAUGAGAAAGUGUAUUUAAAGAAAACGAGCAAAAGACUGAGUAAUAACAGUCAAGCAGCAUUUAGCAGAAAUCAGGGUUAGGCCUGGAUGUUCACAUACCCACUGACCUGCUUGGGUUGGAGGUUAACUCUUGUUAUUAAUCCUAGUGGUUAGAACUACAGGAAGGCAUUUCAAAGGAAUGAUUCAAGUUAAAACAUGUAUUUCAUUAUCAUGCCCAUCUCUGAAACAGUACAGCUGGGCAAGUCAUCCAGGUAUUUAGGCAACACAGAAGGGGUAGCACACAAAAAUAGAAGUAUAAUGACGUGGCAUUUGUUUUCAUUUCAUUCCUUAAGGAUAUUUGAUAGUAACUGAAAAAAAUAAUGGAAUAAGAUUCUGGUUUAUUUCUAUUUGUCUAGUUAAAAUAAUGUAGAACUAAUGAAAAACAAACCCAGAUCUCCCUUUCCAGAGGAGCUGUGGCUGCUCCAUCCCCCAAGGCCAGGCUUGGAUAGGGCUCUGAGAAACCUGGGAUAGCGGAAGGUGCCCCUGCCCGUGGCAAGGGGACUGGAACAAGAUGGGCUUUAAAGUCCCUUCCAGCCCAAGCUAAUAAAAGAAUUUAUGAUUCCUUUAGCACUGAGCAGGUGUCCCUGCCAGCAGAAUGACUGCACUGGUAGCAAAACAGUGGCUCACCAUGCAGCCUGCAUCUGCAGUACAGCCAGAACCCAACAGCCCCUCCAGCUC